This 394-nucleotide ribosomal RNA is filed under the name uncultured Rikenellaceae bacterium. Its description in RNAcentral is "bacterial SSU rRNA". It matches the Rfam family "Bacterial small subunit ribosomal RNA", at positions 989 to 1382 of the family's 1533-position model. Lineage: Bacteria; Pseudomonadati; Bacteroidota; Bacteroidia; Bacteroidales; Rikenellaceae. The record is from RNAcentral.
GGGAGACGCGACCGUGAAAGCGGCGUUCCAGCAAUGGCUGCCUGCGAGGUGCUGCAUGGUUGUCGUCAGCUCGUGCCGUGAGGUGUCCGGGUUAAGUCCCAUAACGAGCGCAACCCCUACUGCUAGUUGCCAGCGCGUAAAGGCGGGGACUCUAGCGGAACUGCCGGCGUAAGCCGUGAGGAAGGUGGGGAUGACGUCAAAUCAGCACGGCCCUUACGUCCAGGGCUACACACGUGUUACAAUGGCCGGUACAGAGGGCAGCCACCCCGCGAGGGGGCGCUAAUCCUUAAAGCCGGUCCCAGUUCGGAUCGGAGUCUGCAACCCGACUCCGUGAAGCUGGAUUCGCUAGUAAUCGCGCAUCAGCCACGGCGCGGUGAAUACGUUCCCGGACCUU